AAGCGUAUUUCAUCAGACUGCUAUUAUUUCUGUGCAAGCUUUGAAGAAAAAGGGUAAAAGGUCAUUCUUUUGUUUGUAACUAAGAAAGAUAUUGCCUUUGAAAGAUGGUUUAUUUUUCUCAUAUUUUAAAUAAUCUUAUUCUCAUAGCCCAGAUAUAUCCUUGCUUUAAAACCUUGAGCUACUUAUUUCAAUAUAAAUAUGCUCAGAAAGAAAACGCUUUACUUUUAAGAAAGGCUGAGUAUUUAUAAAAUGUGCAGUGUUUAUGUUCUUGCAUGUUAAUGUUCUUGCAAAUAAAAUAUUUUGACUGUCACGUCAGAAAUGACAAAGUGUGUUACAAGAAUGAAUCCUUGAGGAUUUUUUAACAUGAACAUUAAUAAGUGCAUAAAAGGUGCAUUGUAAAAAUACAGUCACUAUAAAUAACUAGAUUUAAUACAUUUCUUUUAAUGUUGUUUGGGCUUUUGCACAGCCAAAUGCCCUCGCUGUAGGAAUAAGCUUCAAGUAGACAACUUCGUGGAAUGGUCCCCUAGAAGAAGAAAUAGACUCCAGUAAUGGAAAGAAGCCUGAUCAGGAGUGGAUAUCUAGCUCAAAGGUACAUUGUAUUGUGUUUUAUUUAGCUUUCAUUAUGCUUUUGUCAUAAGAGCAUAAUUAUAAAGAGCAUACUUUAUAAUUAUGUAAAUAUACUGAACAUAUUAUACAUAUGGAUAACAUAUUUCAAGUUAUUAUUUAAAGUCUGUCCAGCAUGUUUAGCCAGCACAGAAGAAAAUGCAUACUAAAAUCACACCACAAACAAAUUUCACAGCAGGGAAACAAAACAAAAGGAACAUCAGUUGUAAUUUGAUGCUGGUCAUUGUUUGGUACAUAGAUGUGCAUUAAUUGAAUAAAACUUCUGGUAAAUAGCUUUGCCUUUUGUUUCCGUUUCGGAGGAUAGAGCAGUUUUGUAACUACUGAAACUUACUCAAAUUUUCAUUUACUUUUGGAAACAAAAUAUUGCAUGCAUUUGUGCCAAAGAAGACAAUGAAAGUGGCAUCUAGCUGUCCUAAUUCAGACUUCAGCAGGAGUGUUGUAUAAACAGGAUCUCGACAUAAGUACGGGAUUCCUAGAGCAUCCUAUCAAGACAUGCAUCCUGGGGCAGACUUCCUGCAGGCUUCCACACCUGAAAAUGAAACUGACUCUGCUGACAACUUCAGGUGACAAUCGGAGGGGAAAAAGUUGGGGGAAGAAAGAAGCGAAACAUACGCCGCUUCUGAAGGUGAUUCUGAAUGAAGACUGAUGCUGGUAGAACUUUCAUACUGCAAGAAACGAAUUGCUGCAGAAAUGCUGAACUGGCAAGAACAACAUCAACAUGCAUUUAUUUUAUUUCUCUCCUUAGUAAAAUGUGCAUUGAAUAUUACUGUAGUUUUUGAAGCAUUGUUGAAUUCAAAAUCAACUGCUGCACAGCAGAGCUCAGUGGACUUGAGAACUACUCAGCAUGUGUGAGGAUUAGAUACACAGAAAGCAACCUCCCUUUUUAAAUUAUGAGGAUGUUGUGUUUUGUUUUGGAAGAGAUCAGAUUCUGAAUAUUUAAGGAAGCUCUAUCUCCCUUUGUGUUUUCUUCUUACUAUAGUCAGACUUCGGGUUUUGUCUUACUGAGUUUUGCUCCUGUACUGGCACUAAGUGGUUAUAGUGGGUUUCAGGGGGAGGGUGGGGGAGGCCCCUGUACUUAAAUAGAUUUUGUUUGGGUGUUCUUAAAUGCCUCUUUUGCUGCAUCAUAUAACUGAUGGCUUCCAUUGUUAAUGAAUGAACGGGAAGAUAACCAAGAUACUGUAGAGAUUGUUUGGGUUUUGGCUCAUUUGAAGAUUAUUUAACUGAAAAAGCAAUAAGAACUUUUAGUGGUCUUUUAAUACUUGGUGAUGGCUUUUUUAUGUACCAGUUUGGAAAUCUGAGAUUAUAUUUGAUAUCGUGUGGCUGUUCCAUUAUGGAAUAUUGCAGGUGUAAACUCUUGCAUUUCAGCAUUCCUAGCAGAUAUGCAACUUGACAAAGACCUAAGGUUGUUUAGUUUAAUCAGACUUUUUUUAGAUCCCACUUUCACUGUUCAAAGCACUGGUUGCUUUGUGUUUUCUAGUGCUGUCACUUCUUUAUAAAUAAAGACAAAAGAGGUAUGCAUCUUCACUGGUCCAUUUUAUUUAAAUGUGGAUAUCUACCAGAACUUACACUUGAAAACAUAGAAAGCUGUAUUCUGUGGUAUAUUGUUACUAAUGUUUAUAAAUUCUUACCCAGAUAUUUAAGAUUGUUCUGACCAUUUUGGAUUGAAAUGCUUUCUAUAACUGGUGGUACAAUAAAUUCUUAUACAUGUCCUAGAAUUGUAUUUCCUACAGAUAUGUGUUACUUUUGUAAUUACCAUGGUAACAAUGUAUCUGCAAAGAGUGCAACAUGUUGAAAUGCCUUGAGUUUAGUUUAUUGUUAUGGUAUGUAAAACUAACUUGUGCAGAUGAAAGGAUGUGCCUUACCAGCUGAAAUGAACUCAGUGAUUUUUAGAGUUAACUUUGCUAGCAUGACAUGAGUUGGCCUGUCAUCUGUAAGACUUGAGAGAAAAUGAAAUGCUAAGGAAAUGGCGUAUUUCUAUGCCUAUUCUGGUAACUUUAGGCAUUUGGUGCCAACACUUACAAGUAUUAUUCAGUAAUUAAUUGAAAUACACCUCUGGGACAUUCAUCUGAAAAGUGAAAGUUCAGGCAUAUGUGAAGAUGUUUCUAACUCAUUUCUGAAGAAGGUGAAUUGAAAUUUAUAAUAAAUGUUCAAUCCUUGCUGAGUUAGAUGGUACAGCUUAAUAAAAUGUCAUACAGUGAAGCAGUCAGUAUUUCAUAUGCACUCAGUACAUUUAGGGUUACAAGCAUGGGUUCUGAUACCCCAAUAAAUUGAUGACUUGAAGGACAUUUUAAAAUUUUUUUCUUCAGUCUUUGUAACAAACACCAUUCCACGAAGGUAAGCAAGGUAAGGAGCUCCAUGUACAAAUGUGGUUGAAAUGAUACGCACGUUUGGUGUCCUACAGCCUUGUUGAGCUUCAGUGCAAAUGGAAGAAUGAUGUGGGGGAAUACCACAGUGGAACUGGUGAGGAGUAGAGUGUCUGAAUGCACCAGUUGGGAAGAAAGCUGCCACCAAACCCACCAAGCUGCCUUCUCAGAGGAGAGCUGUCUUGCAACCCUGAUGCCCUACAGCUAUAGACGGGUAGAGCCUGGGACCAGCCAGAUUAGUUGUCCUCUGUGUAGCUGUGCUGUGAGAUCUCUGUCACCUAUCUGUGCAAGCUCUUGUGGGUACAUCCAAGUGGAUUUUUCUCAGCACACGGCAUGUGUAUCUAUGCAGGUAGCUGUGCAAAUAUGCUUUUUGUCUUCUCCACACAUGCAUGCGCCCUGUUUGUUCACUGGGCUUCAAGACAUAAGGAGUAACUCUGGCU
This is a long non-coding RNA of Prinia subflava (tawny-flanked prinia), 3427 nucleotides long. RefSeq lists it as uncharacterized. The transcript is spliced from 4 exons. The record is from RefSeq and is a predicted model, not a curated record. NCBI's taxonomy places the organism in Eukaryota, Metazoa, Chordata, Aves, Passeriformes, Cisticolidae.